CCUACGGGGAGCAGCAGUAGGGAAUCUUUCACAAUGGGCGAAAGCCUGAUGGAGCAACGCCGCGUGCAGGAUGAAGGCCUUCGGGUUGUAAACUGCUUUUAUAAGCGAGAAAUAUGAUGGUAACUUAUGAAUAAGGAUCGGCUAACUACGUGCCAGCAGCCGCGGUCAUACGUAGGAUCCGAGCAUUAUCCGGAGUGACUGGGUGUAAAGAGUUGCGUAGGUGGCAUAAUAAGUAGCUAGUGAAAUCUGGUGGCUCAACCAUUCAGACUAGCAGCUAAACUGUUAAGCUCGAGACCGUUAGGGGUAACUGGAAUUUCUAGUGUAGGAGUGAAAUCCGUAGAUAUUAGAAGGAACACCAAUAGCGUAGGCAGGUUGCUGGGACGGUUCUGACACUAAGGCACGAAAGCGUAGGGAGCAAACGGGAUUAGAUACCCCGGUAGU
This 441-nucleotide ribosomal RNA is filed under the name uncultured bacterium. Its description in RNAcentral is "partial 16S ribosomal RNA". It matches the Rfam family "Bacterial small subunit ribosomal RNA", at positions 338 to 794 of the family's 1533-position model. The record is from RNAcentral.